RNAcentral lists this ribosomal RNA (510 nucleotides) under uncultured bacterium. RNAcentral's name for it is "partial 16S ribosomal RNA". It matches the Rfam family "Bacterial small subunit ribosomal RNA", at positions 28 to 507 of the family's 1533-position model. The record is from RNAcentral.
GACGAACGCUGGCGGCGCGCUUAACACAUGCAAGUCGAACGAAGAGCGACGGACUCUUGCUUCUACUAAUCUUAGUGACGGACGGGUGAGUAACGCGUAAUCAACCUUCCCCUCAGGGGGGGACAACAGUAGGAAACGACUGCUAAUACCGCAUACGAUCUAAUCAUGGCAUCGAGGAUGGAUGUAAGGUUGCCGCUACAUGUAAGCUACCACCGGAGGAGGGGAUUGCGGCUGAUCAGCUAGUUGGAGGGGUAACGGCCUACCAAGGCGAUGGUCAGUAGCCGGGCUGAGAGGAUGAACGGCCACAGUGAGGCUGUGACACGGCCCAGGGUCCUACGGGAGGCAGCGGUGGGGACGCGUCCGAGAUGGAGGGAAGACUGACGGAGCAGCGCCGCGUGGAUGAUGACGGCCUUCGGGUUGUAAAGCUCUGUUAAUCGGGAAGAAAGGCCUUGUUGCGAAUAGUGAGAAGGAGUGACGGUACCGGAAGAGGAAGCCACGGCUAACUACGUG